UAGGGGUGAAAUCUUGUAAUCCUUGAAGGACCACCAGUGGCGAAGGCGUCUCACCAGAACGGACCUGACGGCAAGGGACGAAAGCUAGGGGCACGAACCGGAUUAGAUACCCGGGUAGUCCUAGCCGUAAACGAUACUCGCUAGGUGUCGGCCACGGUGCGACCGUUGUCGGUGCCGUAGGGAAGCCGUGAAGCGAGCCACCUGGGAAGUACGGCCGCAAGGCUGAAACUUAAAGGAAUUGGCGGGGGAGCACCACAACGGGUGGAGCUUGCGGUUUAAUUGGAUUCAACGCCGGAAAUCUUACCGGGACCGACAGCAAUAUGAAGGCCAGGCUGAAGACUUUGCCGGAUUAGCUGAGAGGUGGUGCAUGGCCGUCGUCAGUUCGUACUGUGAAGCAUCCUGUUAAGUCAGGUAACGAGCGAGACCC
Molecule: ribosomal RNA, 427 nt
Filed under: unidentified archaeon
Lineage: Archaea
Description: bacterial SSU rRNA
Rfam family: Archaeal small subunit ribosomal RNA
Source: RNAcentral